RNAcentral lists this long non-coding RNA (471 nucleotides) under Glycine max (soybean). Its description in RNAcentral is "long non-coding RNA (GMAX_LNC000338)". Lineage: Eukaryota; Viridiplantae; Streptophyta; Magnoliopsida; Fabales; Fabaceae. The record is from RNAcentral.
AACCGUGACCCCCAUGGCGACAACAAAUCUCCUUCUCUUAAAAAUCACUCACGGACCCCAAAGAAAACCCUCAUCUUUGUUUUCAUCCUUUUCUUCUCUUCUCUUCACCUACGACACAUAAGUGGGUUUGAGGGCCAAGUGUGAGAGAGAGAUUGGGAGAGAAGUGAGGUUUCAGAGUUUGAGAGUUGGAGGAAGUUGGUGGUGGCGGCUGGUGAUGGCGUGAGCACUGGCUGGUGGCGGUGCGACUAGCAACGCCAGUGGUGGUCGGUGGCUAGGUUGGUGGUGACCCUUGAGAAGGGAGAACAAAGAGGAGACAACCACAGAAGCAAGGGUUUGCAGAAAGAGCUCCCGACUAUGAAACAUCGACGACAAGUCCCCGCAUUGUUACCACACUCAAUUUUUUGUGCUCUACGCAAUGGACCGAGCGGAAUCACGUUUUGGGGUAAGUUUUGUCGACCCUCUUCUACCCAC